This 460-nucleotide ribosomal RNA is filed under the name uncultured bacterium. Its description in RNAcentral is "partial 16S ribosomal RNA". It matches the Rfam family "Bacterial small subunit ribosomal RNA", at positions 338 to 795 of the family's 1533-position model. The record is from RNAcentral.
CCUACGGGGGGCAGCAGUGAGGAAUAUUGGUCAAUGGGCGCGAGCCUGAACCAGCCAAGUCGCGUGAGGGAAGACGGUCCUAUGGAUUGUAAACUUCUUUUAUAUGGGAAUAAAACGUUCCACGUGUGGGGUUUUGUAUGUACCAUAUGAAUAAGGAUCGGCUAACUCCGUGCCAGCAGCCGCGGUAAUACGGAGGAUCCGAGCGUUAUCCGGAUUUAUUGGGUUUAAAGGGAGCGUAGGUGGAUUGUUAAGUCAGUUGUGAAAGUUUGCGGCUCAACCGUAAAAUUGCAGUUGAAACUGGCAGGCUUGAGUACAGUAGAGGUGGGCGGAAUGCGUGGUGUAGCGGUGAAAUGCUUAGAUAUCACGAAGAACUCCGAUUGCGAAGGCAGUUCACUGGACUGCAACUGACACUGAGGCUCGAAAGUGUGGGUAUCAAACAGGAUUAGAUACCCUAGUAGUC